UACAGAGGGUGCAAGCGUUAAUCGGAAUUACUGGGCGUAAAGCGUGCGUAGACGGUUAUGUAAGUCGGGUGUGAAAGCCCCGGGCUCAACCUGGGAAUGCCAUUCGAGACUGCAUAGCUAGGGUGCGGGAGAGGGAAGCGGAAUUUCCGGUGUAGCGGUGAAAUGCGUAGAUAUCGGGAGGAACACCAGUGGCGAAAGCGGCUUCCUGGACCAGCACCGACGUUCAGGCACGAAAGCGUGGGGAGCAAACAGG
Molecule: ribosomal RNA, 253 nt
Filed under: uncultured bacterium
Lineage: Bacteria
Description: partial 16S ribosomal RNA
Rfam family: Bacterial small subunit ribosomal RNA
Source: RNAcentral